UCGCUGUGAUGAAUGCUUCCAAAACCAUUCGUAGUUUCCACCAGAAGGUGACUGAUGAUGGCUAAGUUCCUUCCUUGGAUGUCUGAGCGA
Molecule: small nucleolar RNA, 90 nt
Organism: Ornithorhynchus anatinus (platypus)
Lineage: Eukaryota; Metazoa; Chordata; Mammalia; Monotremata; Ornithorhynchidae
Product: small nucleolar RNA SNORD14
Exons: 1
Source: RefSeq, a predicted model, not a curated record